RNAcentral lists this long non-coding RNA (1038 nucleotides) under Salmo salar (Atlantic salmon). RNAcentral describes it as "lncRNA (ENSSSAG00000107733.1)". The record is from RNAcentral. Lineage: Eukaryota; Metazoa; Chordata; Actinopteri; Salmoniformes; Salmonidae.
AGAUCAUGCAACUUGUCGAAAGCAAACUUGAUGAUCUGCCUUCUACCAAACUCAUUGACUUCCUCAGAGGUAAAAUCCAAACGCUGGAGAAAGACAAAAAAGAGAUAGUGGGUGUUUUUGGGAAGACUGGAGCUGGUAAGAGCUUCUUGAUUAACACCAUCUUGGGUGAGACAAAAUUGCUGCCCUCUGGAAACCAAGGGGCAUGCACCUCGGUCAUGAUUCAGAUGGAGGCCAAUAUGACAGACUCGAAGUACAUGGCAGAGAUUGAGUUUAUCACAGAGAAGGAAUGGAAAGAGGAGCUAUGGUCCAUCUUCAGAGACAGAUCUCAUGAGGAUGGAAAUGAUGAAGACCAGGAAAGGGAUGAUGGCGAUAAUGAAAAUAUAUCAGCUUUGUAUGGAAAAGAUGGACGUGGGGCAACCUUAGAAGAAUUAAUGGACAGAACGCACUUCAGAGAAAUUCCAGAGUUUCGUUUAUCAGUGUAACGGUCGUCGUUUGUAGUUGAAGAGGAAGUGGACCAAAAUGCAGCGUGAAACACUUCAGUGGGGGAAAGGAUUUCCUUCAGGUGUUUACUGUGAGUUCCAAGGAAUACCAAAAGGAAAAGCAUUUCCAACAAGAAGAGACAGAAAUACCCAAACUUCAGGAAUUUCUCAGAAAUCUCAAUGAUCGCCGCACAAAGACUUCAGGCUAUGUUUCUGGAGCCUAUGGGAUUGUCACGGCCGUCGUAAGGAUUGGACCAAAAUGCAGCGGACAGACAGCAAAGAAGAGGUGUGCCAGGUGGAACAGUGGCACAAGGAUAAGAUCAAGUCCAUUGGUCAAACUAUGGAUGAGGCUUAUGAGACUUUUGAAUGAUGCUUCUCAGAAGGAGUUCGACAGUCUGAAGAAUCAUGCGAGAAAUUAAUGAACAAAGUGAUAGCACCAGGGCAUCAGAGCAUGCAGGAAAAGAUUCUCUGGAAAGGAUGAAAGAUGAGCUACAUCAUCACAUGAAGAAUAACAACAUUUUCCGGAAGGCCAUGGAAGAUAUGCUGGGUGGUUUAAUAA